CCUCAAAUCAGGUAGGACUACCCGCUGAACUUAAGCAUAUCAAUAAGCGGAGGAAAAGAAACUAACAAGGAUUCCCCUAGUAACUGCGAGUGAAGCGGGAAAAGCUCAAAUUUAAAAUCUGGUGGUCUCCGGCCAUCCGAGUUGUAAUCUAGAGAAGUGUUACCCGCGUCGGACCGUGUACAAGUCUCCUGGAAUGGAGCGUCAUAGAGGGUGGGAAUCCCGUCUUUGACACGGACCCCCGAGGCUUUGUGGUGCGCUCUCAAAGAGUCGAGUUGUUUGGGAAUGCAGCUCAAAAUGGGUGGUAAAUUCCAUCUAAAGCUAAAUAUUGGCGAGAGACCGAUAGCGAACUAGUACCGUGAGGGAAAGAUGAAAAGAACUUUGGAAAGAGAGUUAAACAGUACGUGAAAUUGCUGAAAGGGAAACGCUUGAAGUCAGUCGCGUCGGCCGGAAAUCAGCCUUGCUCUUGCUUGGUGUACUUUCUGGUUGACGGGCCAGCAUCAGUUUUGACCGGUGGAUAAAGUUGUGAGGAAUGUGGCAUCUUCGGGUGUGUUAUAGCCUCGCUUCGUAUACAUCGGUUGGGACUGAGGAACUCAGCACGCCGAAAGGCCGGGGUUCGCCCACGUUCGUGCUUAGGAUGUUGGCAUAAU
RNAcentral lists this ribosomal RNA (647 nucleotides) under uncultured Basidiomycota. RNAcentral describes it as "LSU rRNA". It matches the Rfam family "Eukaryotic large subunit ribosomal RNA", at positions 1 to 635 of the family's 3401-position model. Lineage: Eukaryota; Fungi; Basidiomycota. The record is from RNAcentral.